AUCCUACGGGAGGCAGCAGUGGGGAAUAUUGCACAAUGGGGGAAACCCUGAUGCAGCGACGCCGCGUGAGUGAAGAAGUAUUUCGGUACGUAAAGCUCUAUCAGCAGGGAAGAAAAAAAGUCCUUUGGACUUUGGACGGUACCUGACCAAGAAGCCCCGGCUAACUACGUGCCAGCAGCCGCGGUAAUACGUAGGGGGCAAGCGUUAUCCGGCUUUACUGGGUGUAAAGGGUGCGUAGGUGGCAGGGCAAGUCAGAUGUGAAAGCCCGGGGCUCAACCCCGGUACUGCAUUUGAAACUGUCCAGC
Molecule: ribosomal RNA, 305 nt
Filed under: uncultured bacterium
Lineage: Bacteria
Description: bacterial SSU rRNA
Rfam family: Bacterial small subunit ribosomal RNA
Source: RNAcentral